AUUGAACGCUGGCGGCAUGCUUUACACAUGCAAGUCGAACGGUAACAGGCCGCAAGGUGCUGACGAGUGGCGAACGGGGGAGUAAUGCAUCGGAACGUGCCCAGUCGUGGGGGAUAACUACUCGAAAGAGUAGCUAAUACCGCAUACGAUCUAUGGAUGAAAGCGGGGGACCGUAAGGCCUCGCGCGAUUGGAGCGGCCGAUGUCAGAUUAGGUAGUUGGUGGGGUAAAGGCGCACCAAGCCAACGAUCUGUAGCUGGUCUGAGAGGACGACCAGCCACACUGGGACUGAGACACGGCCCAGACUCCUACGGGAGGCAGCAGUGGGGAAUUUUGGACAAUGGGCGCAAGCCUGAUCCAGCAAUGCCGCGUGCAGGAAGAAGGCCUUCGGGUUGCAAACUGCUUUUGUACGGAACGAAACGGCUCUGGUUAAUACCCGGGGCUAAUGACGUUACCGUAAGAAUAAGCACCGGCUAACUACGUG
RNAcentral lists this ribosomal RNA (482 nucleotides) under uncultured bacterium. RNAcentral's name for it is "partial 16S ribosomal RNA". It matches the Rfam family "Bacterial small subunit ribosomal RNA", at positions 30 to 507 of the family's 1533-position model. The record is from RNAcentral.